ACAUACUUAAUUUAUUUACAAUAUGUGAACAUUAAGGGAUUUUUCGCUGGAAUAUACUAUCAUGAUCAAAUCUCCGUAAAAACUUAAUGUAAUGUCUCAUAUUUUAAAAGGUGUUAGAAGUUGGUUUUUAUUUAAUACCAAUUUGGUCAAUGACAUCAUAGUCUGUAAAAGAUAAAUCUAUUAAAAUACUGUUACCAAACAUAA
Molecule: long non-coding RNA, 204 nt
Organism: Neofelis nebulosa (Clouded leopard)
Lineage: Eukaryota; Metazoa; Chordata; Mammalia; Carnivora; Felidae
Exons: 2
Source: RefSeq, a predicted model, not a curated record